This 301-nucleotide ribosomal RNA is filed under the name uncultured bacterium. Its description in RNAcentral is "partial 16S ribosomal RNA". It matches the Rfam family "Bacterial small subunit ribosomal RNA", at positions 509 to 807 of the family's 1533-position model. The record is from RNAcentral.
CAGUCGCCGCGGUAAUACGAAGGGGGCUAGCGUUGUUCGGAAUCACUGGGCGUAAAGCGCACGUAGGCGGAUUUUUAAGUCAGGGGUGAAAUCCCGAGGCUCAACCUCGGAACUGCCUUUGAUACUGGAGAUCUUGAGUUCGGAAGAGGUUGGUGGAACAGCUAGUGUAGAGGUGAAAUUCGUAGAUAUUAGCUAGAACACCAGUGGCGAAGGCGGCCAACUGGUCCGACACUGACGCUGAGGUGCGAAAGCGUGGGGAGCAGACAGGAUUAGAUACCCCUGUAGUCCCUGUCUCUUAUAC